Molecule: unclassified non-coding RNA, 276 nt
Filed under: Hevea brasiliensis (rubber tree)
Lineage: Eukaryota; Viridiplantae; Streptophyta; Magnoliopsida; Malpighiales; Euphorbiaceae
Source: RNAcentral
CUUACCUGUCUGUCAGUUUUUUACUAUUCCUAACAUGCUUUCUUCUCUUCUUCUUCUAUUCGUCCAAUCUGCAACUUUUUUUCCUCUAUCCUUUUCUCACUGUAACUCCGGACAGAUCUGCUCUACCGCCGGUCUAAUUUUCCGGCAGUGUUAUUUCCUCUACAGGAAGGAAGCUUUGCAUUACACCUCCAGACCUGUAAUGCUUCCAUUUUUAGUAGUGAUAAAAGAGAAAAGAAAAUGAAUCGGAGCUUCAGAGAUUCUUUGAUCACCGGGAAG